This 163-nucleotide ribosomal RNA is filed under the name uncultured bacterium. RNAcentral's name for it is "partial 16S rRNA". It matches the Rfam family "Bacterial small subunit ribosomal RNA", at positions 355 to 510 of the family's 1533-position model. The record is from RNAcentral.
UAGGGAAUCUUCCACAAUGGGCGAAAGCCUGAUGGAGCAACGCCGCGUGUGUGAUGAAGGGUUUCGGCUCGUAAAACACUGUUGUAAGAGAAGAAUGACAUUGAGAGUAACUGUUCAAUGUGUGACGGUAUCUUACCAGAAAGGAACGGCUAAAUACGUGCNG